RNAcentral lists this ribosomal RNA (497 nucleotides) under uncultured bacterium. Its description in RNAcentral is "partial 16S ribosomal RNA". It matches the Rfam family "Bacterial small subunit ribosomal RNA", at positions 28 to 507 of the family's 1533-position model. The record is from RNAcentral.
GAUGAACGCUGGCGGCGUGCCUAAUACAUGCAAGUCGAGCGAACAGACGAGGAGCUUGCUCCUCUGACGUUAGCGGCGGACGGGUGAGUAACGCGUGGAUAACCUACCUAUAAGACUGGGAUAACUUCGGGAAACCGGAGCUAAUACCGGAUAACAUGUUGAACCGCAUGGUUCAACAGUGAAAGACGGUCUUGCUGUCACUUAUAGAUGGAUCCGCGCCGCAUUAGCUAGUUGGUAAGGUAACGGCUUACCAAGGCAACGAUGCGUAGCCGACCUGAGAGGGUGAUCGGCCACACUGGAACUGAGACACGGUCCAGACUCCUACGGGAGGCAGCAGUAGGGAAUCUUCCGCAAUGGGCGAAAGCCUGACGGAGCAACGCCGCGUGAGUGAUGAAGGUCUUCGGAUCGUAAAACUCUGUUAUUAGGGAAGAACAAAUGUGUAAGUAACUAUGCACGUCUUGACGGUACCUAAUCAGAAAGCCACGGCUAACUACGUG